AACGGCCGUACCAUGCUGAAUAUACCGGUUCUCGUUAGAUCACCGAAGUUAAGCAUCAUUGGGCGCGGUCAGUACUUGGGUGGGUGACCACCUGGGAACACUGCGUGCCGCUG
This 113-nucleotide ribosomal RNA is filed under the name Caerostris darwini. Lineage: Eukaryota; Metazoa; Arthropoda; Arachnida; Araneae; Araneidae. The record is from RNAcentral.